RNAcentral lists this transfer RNA (77 nucleotides) under Clostridium carboxidivorans P7. Its description in RNAcentral is "tRNA-Asn". It matches the Rfam family "tRNA". Rfam says of the family: Transfer RNA (tRNA) molecules are approximately 80 nucleotides in length. Lineage: Bacteria; Bacillati; Bacillota; Clostridia; Eubacteriales; Clostridiaceae. The record is from RNAcentral.
UUCCGCGAUAGCUCAAUGGUGGAGCACUCGGCUGUUAACCGAUAGGUUGAAGGUUCGAAUCCUUUUCGCGGAGCCAU